RNAcentral lists this ribosomal RNA (161 nucleotides) under uncultured bacterium. RNAcentral's name for it is "partial 16S rRNA". It matches the Rfam family "Bacterial small subunit ribosomal RNA", at positions 355 to 507 of the family's 1533-position model. The record is from RNAcentral.
UGGGGAAUAUUGCGCAAUGGGGGAAACCCUGACGCAGCGACGCCGCGUGAGCGAAGAAGGCCUUCGGGUCGUAAAGCUCUGUUGUAAGGGACGAAGGUUACCUGUGUGAAUAAUGCAGGUAAGUGACGGUACCUUACUAGAAAGCCCCGGCUAACUACGUG